UAAACAGAAAAGAGCGUAGGGCGGAUGCCUUGGCACUAAGAGCCGAUGAAGGACGUGAUAAGCUGCGAUAAGCUGCGGGGAAGAGCAAAUAUCUAUUGAUCCGCAGAUUUCCGAAUGGGGAAACCUACUGCAGAAGACCUGCAGUGACUGUGCGUAAAUCCAUAGCGUACAGCCGGGAACCCGCUGAACUGAAACAUCUAAGUAGGCGGAGGAAGAGAAAACAACAGUGAUUCCGUAAGUAGUGGCGAGCGAACACGGAAGAGCCCAAACCGCGGUGCGUGCACCGCGGGGUUCGGACUGCGUAAGGGAAUUGAAUGGUUACCGGAAGGACUUUGGAAAAGUCCGCCAGAGAGGGUGAAAGCCCCGUACGGGAAAACGAUUCGAAACUCGGCAGGAUCCAGAGUACCACGAGACACGUGAAACCUUGUGGGAAUACGGGGGGACCACCCCCUAAGGCUAAAUACUACUUAGUGACCGAUAGUGCAUAGUACUGUGAAGGAAAGGUGAAAAGGACCCCGGGAGGGGAGUGAAAAAGAACCUGAAACCCUAUGUUUACAUGCAGUGGAAGUGCGAUACAUGAACGCACAACCGCGUACUUUUUGUAGAACGGUCCGGCGAGUUGCCGGUGCUGGCAAGGUUAAGGACUACAGGUCCGGAGCCGAAGGGAAACCGAGUCUUAAUAGGGCUUACAGUCAGCAUCGGCAGACCCGAAACCGGGUGAUCUAUCCAUGUCCAGGUUGAAGUUCCCGUAAAAGGGAAUGGAGGACCGAACACACAUCCGUUGAAAAGGGUGGUGAUGAGGUGUGGAUAGGGGAGAAAUUCCAAUCGAACCCGGAGAUAGCUGGUUCUCCUCGAAAUAGCUUUUUAGGGCUAGCCUCGACUUAGUCAGACGGAGGUAGAGCACUGAAUUCCUGAGGGGGCGUCAAAGCCUACCAAGGGAUAUCAAACUGCGAAUGCCGCACUGAUGAUGGUCGGGAGUCAGACUGUACGAGAUAAGUUGGACAGUCAAAAGGGAAAGAGCCCAGACCUACAGCUAAGGUCCCAAAAUACGUGUUAAGUGGAAAAGGAUGUGGGAUUUCGAAGACAGCUAGGAUGUUGGCUUAGAAGCAGCCACACAUUCAAAGAGUGCGUAAUAGCUCACUAGUCGAGAGGUCCUGCGCCGAAAAUUUCCGGGGCUAAAACACGAUACCGAAGCUUAGGAAUGUAGCAAUACAUUGGUAGAGGAGCAAUCUCAGAGUGCCGAAGCGUUACCGUAAGGAAGCGUGGAGUUCUGAGAAGAGAGAAUGCCGGAAUGAGUAGCGAGAAUGAUGUGAGAAUCAUCAUGGCCGAAUAUCCAAGGAUUCCAGGGUAAAGCUGAUCUGCCCUGGGUAAGUCGGGACCCUAAGGCGAGGGAGAGAUCCGUAGUCGAUGGACAGCAGGUUCAUAUUCCUGCACCUGACAUGAUCAGAACUGUGGGGACACAGGAACGAAAACCGGACCCGGGAGAGCAAAGACCGGGCGAAGCGAAGCUAGGAGUGCGGUAGGCAAAUCCGCCGCACAAUCCGAAAGCGUGAUAGGGAGCGAAAUAUAAGUAGCGAAGCCGGUGGAGGGACUGUCGAGAAAAGCCGCUAUUGUAUCAUGUCAGCCCGUACCGCAAACCGACACAGGUGGAUGAGGAGAGAAUCCUAAGGCCGGCGGGAGAAGCAUUGUUAAGGAACUCGGCAAAAUGACCCCGUAACUUCGGGAGAAGGGGUGCUGCAGAGAUGCAGCCGCAGAGAAAAAGGCUCAAGCAACUGUUUAGCAAAAACACAGGUCUAUGCGAAACCGUAAGGUGAGGUAUAUGGGCUGACGCCUGCCCGGUGCUGGAAGGUUAAGAGGAGAGGUUAGCGAAAGCGAAGCUUUGAAUUUAAGCCCCAGUAAACGGCGGCCGUAACUAUAACGGUCCUAAGGUAGCGAAAUUCCUUGUCGGGUAAGUUCCGACCCGCACGAAAGGCGUAAUGAUUUGAGCGCUGUCUCAACAAUGCACCCGGUGAAAUUGAAGUACCAGUGAAGAUGCUGGUGACCUGCGCCAGGACGGAAAGACCCCAUGGAGCUUUUACUCCAGCUUGAUACCGGGAUUCGGUGUUACUCGUACAGGAUAGGUGGGAGGCUAAGAAGGAAGGACGCCAGUCUUUCCGGAGCCGCUGUUGGGAUACCACCCCUGUGGCACUGGAUUUUCUAACCCACAUCCGUAAUCCGGAUGGGGGACAAUGUCAGGUGGGGAGUUUGAUCUGGGGCGGUCGCCUCCGAAAGAGUAUCGGAGGCGCUCAAAGGUUCCCUCAGAAUGGUUGGAAACCAUUCGAAGAGCGCAAAGGCAGAAGGGAGCUUGACUGCGACACCGACGGGUGGAGCAGGUACGAAAGUAGGACUUAGUGAUCCGGUGGUAUAAAGUGGGAUUGCCAUCGCUCAACGGAUAAAAGCUACCCUGGGGAUAACAGGCUUAUCACUCCCAAGAGUUCACAUCGACGGAGUGGUUUGGCACCUCGAUGUCGGCUCAUCGCAUCCUGGGGCUGAAGUCGGUCCCAAGGGUUGGGCUGUUCGCCCAUUAAAGCGGUACGCGAGCUGGGUUCAGAACGUCGUGAGACAGUUCGGUCCCUAUCCGGCGCGGGCGUAAGAUAUCUGAGAGGAGCUGUCCUUAGUACGAGAGGACCGGGAUGGACUGACCACUGGUGCACCGGUUGGGGAGCAACCCCAUGGCCGGGUAGCCAAGUCGGGACGGGAUAAACGCUGAAGGCAUCUAAGCGUGAAGCCCCCCUCAAGAUGGGAUAUCUCAUGCGAAAGCGGUAAGACCCCUUGAAGACGACAAGGUAGAUAGGAGAGAGGUGUAAGCGUGGUGACACGUUCAGCUGACUCUUACUAAUCGGUCGAGGGUUUA
RNAcentral lists this ribosomal RNA (2893 nucleotides) under uncultured Stomatobaculum sp. RNAcentral describes it as "Bacterial large subunit ribosomal RNA". It matches the Rfam family "Bacterial large subunit ribosomal RNA". Lineage: Bacteria; Bacillati; Bacillota; Clostridia; Lachnospirales; Lachnospiraceae. The record is from RNAcentral.